RNAcentral lists this ribosomal RNA (433 nucleotides) under uncultured bacterium. RNAcentral describes it as "bacterial SSU rRNA". It matches the Rfam family "Bacterial small subunit ribosomal RNA", at positions 958 to 1392 of the family's 1533-position model. The record is from RNAcentral.
AACGCGAAGAACCUUACCUACUCUUGACAUCCAGAGAACUUAGCAGAGAUGCUUUGGUGCCUUCGGGAACUCUGAGACAGGUGCUGCAUGGCUGUCGUCAGCUCGUGUUGUGAAAUGUUGGGUUAAGUCCCGCAACGAGCGCAACCCUUAUCCUUUGUUGCAGCGGUUAGGCCGGGAACUCAAAGGAGACUGCCAGUGAUAAACUGGAGGAAGGUGGGGAUGACGUCAAGUCAUCAUGGCCCUUACGAGUAGGGCUACACACGUGCUACAAUGGCGCAUACAAAGAGAAGCGACCUCGCGAGAGCAAGCGGACCUCAUAAAGUGCGUCGUAGUCCGGAUUGGAGUCUGCAACUCGACUCCAUGAAGUCGGAAUCGCUAGUAAUCGUGGAUCAGAAUGCCACGGUGAAUACGUUCCCGGGUCUUGUACACACCG